Eleginops maclovinus (Patagonian blennie) is the source of this 7574-nucleotide RNA transcript. It is a transcript of the gene named casein kinase 1, gamma 1, with no coding region annotated. The record is from RefSeq and is a predicted model, not a curated record. NCBI's taxonomy places the organism in Eukaryota, Metazoa, Chordata, Actinopteri, Perciformes, Eleginopidae. The transcript is spliced from 12 exons.
ACGAGCAGCGAAGAAUGGAGAGAACCGCUAACGACAGUCCGCUGUUAGCCUGAAACAUCAGUCACAACACCGAGAAACCUUUACACAAAGCUCCGGACAGCCGUGCACAUUUCAGGUGUGACAUAUACAGAAGCUGUGUCCUCGUCUGGAUUUAUAACAGCAAAGGUGAGCCCGCUGUGUUUGUUUGGGGUCUUUCACCUUCUCCUUCCUGUGACAGAUGUUGAGGCCAGAGAUCAGCCUGUCCUAACAACUGUUAGAGGUGACAGGGUGAGGACAGGAGGAGUGUCGGUCAGCUGUGCCAGGUUUUGUCUCAUGAGAGUCACUGUGCCAUCCAGGCACUGCCAGUGACCAGGGCUGUGGCUGUGGAGGGCCCGGCCCAGGAGGCCUUUUUGUACAUCACUCCGGGCUCCUGCUGACCUGUGCUGCUCACACCAUGGAUCAACAGAGGGAUAAAUAUGGCGAGCGGCCUGCCAGGAGCACUAAAGUUUCACAGGGAAGCCGCAGCGGACACUCGUCCCGACCAUCCGGCUCCUCCAGCUCAUCCGGGGUUCUAAUGGUGGGGCCAAACUUUCGUGUGGGCAAGAAGAUCGGCUGUGGAAACUUUGGUGAAUUGAAGCUUGGUAAAAAUCUCUACACCAACGAGUAUGUAGCUAUUAAACUGGAACCAGUGAAGUCGAGGGCACCACAGCUGCAUUUAGAGUACCGGUUCUACAAAACACUGGGAACUACAGCUGAAGGCGUGCCCCAGGUGUUCUACUUUGGGCCCUGUGGGAAAUACAACGCCAUGGUUCUGGAGCUGCUGGGACCAAGUCUCGAGGACCUGUUCGACCUUUGUGACCGGACCUUUUCACUGAAGACUGUCUUAAUGAUAGCUAUUCAGCUGAUUUCUCGAAUGGAGUAUGUGCACUCUAAAAACCUCAUCUAUAGAGAUGUCAAACCUGAAAACUUUCUCAUCGGACGGCAAGGGAACAAGAAGGAACACAUCAUCCACAUCAUUGACUUUGGUCUGGCCAAAGAGUACAUCGACCCGGAGACCAAAAAACACAUUCCAUACAGGGAGCAUAAGAGCCUGACUGGCACUGCCCGAUAUAUGUCUAUCAAUACACAUUUAGGCAAAGAGCAAAGCCGGCGAGAUGACCUUGAGGCCUUAGGCCACAUGUUCAUGUAUUUCCUUCGUGGGAGUCUACCAUGGCAAGGACUGAAGGCCGACACAUUGAAAGAGCGAUACCAGAAGAUUGGAGACACCAAACGAAACACUCCCAUCGAGGUCCUCUGUGAGAACUUCCCAGAGGAGAUGGCCACCUACCUGCGAUAUGUGAGACGGUUGGACUUCUUUGAAAAGCCGGACUAUGAAUAUCUGCGGACUCUGUUCACUGAACUGUUUGAGCGGAAAGGAUACACCUUCGAUUACACUUACGACUGGGUGGGCCGGCAGAUACCCACACCAGUGGGGUCUGUCCACAUAGACUCAGCAGCAUCGGCUGUGACGAGAGAGAGCCACCCUCACAGAGACCGGCCCUCACAGCACCCACCGAUUAGAAACCAGACAGCAGCCUCAGAUCGACGAGGAGCAUGGGAGGUGCAGCCCACACGCCAAGCAAACUCCUCCUAUCUGACCUCCCACCUGGCAGCGGACAGGCACGGGGGCUCAGUACAGGUAUACACCCCUCACCUGUUCAACCACACCCCCCACCUGAUCUCUAUGGAGUCAGAUCUGUCUCAUAGGAUCAAAUCUAGUAUAAGAAAAGUCAGAAACCUAACACAGGUGCGUCACUUUUGUGUGUUGAACCAUUUUCAAAGCAGCAGAUGGCGACUUCUAUUUAAAACAAAAAACUGUUGGUCAUAUUUGCAGAAACUGUUACUAUAUCCUGAUGGUAGUGUAUGAGAAAAAUGAUAACAUAAUAAUAAUAAACCAAUCCGAGCCGAGGAGUCUGUUACGCUGUGUCAAUCACACUGAUCAAACUGCUCAACUAGACUGUGGCACUCAUUUGAUUAAAAAGAGCACCAGCCAUUUUUUAUCAUGGCAGCCGGUUUAAAAAGGGGGGGCAUUAUCUUUCUAGUGCUAUACUGUCAGGAUAUAGUGACAGUUUGAAAAAAUAUGAAAAAGUUACUAAGUGGUGAUUCUGCAUUAUUAAGGCAGAUUUGAGUUAAUUACUGACAUUCAGACAUACUCUCCAGGUCAUGCAGAAUAAAUGAAGGUGCCCUUUCAUCUCUUUAAAAAUGUUUUAUUCAUUUCCAUAAAACAGAUAACAGGACACAACGUUUAUUUUGUAUUUUAGCCUGGCAUGUGAGACAGAUCUACAACCAUAAACUCCCCCCCCCCACCCCCCCUUUUAGCCCUGGCUGGGAAAUGUUAUUUUUUUCUGCUCCACCAUAUGCAUGUCAUCUGGUGCCAUCCACCCCAGUUGGAGAAAAUGUGAUGAGGCUUUAUGAACAGCAGGCCUGGUGGUCAUCGCGCUUGGACAUUCCUUGCAGAUCAAGAAGCACUUUUGCAUGGCAGGGCGACCUGGCGCAGCCCGCUAAGUGCAUGCUCUUUAGUCGAAAAGGGUCAUUGAACAUUAAGGAACACUCUGGUGUCGUUUUGACUACCAGCCAUUACCCAAGACAACAAGCUCUGUCUGCAUAGGUGUGUACAGUGUAGGCUACAGUAGAUUUCUGGCAUUUCUGCUUAAUGAAAUUCACUCCUUCCUUCCUUCAGCAGAUGAUUUUUGUACUUUUUUUGCAUCAUGAAUGGAAUUGAAUGGUUUCAAAUAGCUGAGAAUCUCAUAGGUGUACACUGAGCACACCUAUGCACAAAAAACACACAUUUUUGAGAUAACUUAUGCAUUUCUUCUACAGGUGAAUGGGACGACCACCAAUAGCUUUGCAUACUGUAGUUUGUCUGCUGGUGGCAGUUUGGUGUCAUAUCUUUCAUUCAUGUAUUUUUAAUUUUGCAAAGGGUUUAUACUUUUUCAGAUUUCCUCUACACUGGCAUACAGACUGGAAUGGGAAUUUCAAAAACUAUUUUAAUUGUGUUCAUAUCAUAAAAUAUUCCGAAAUUUGCUUGAAAUCACUGCAACGGUAUGCAGUGGCUAUAUAUAGAAAAAUGUAAGCAAGAAAAAUGUUUGUGUUUUAUUCAUGUGAUUUUGUGUUUCCAUAGAGCAAACAAUCAAAGUAAAGUGAUUUGGUAAAGUAACAUGUAGUGUUUAACCAGAGGAAGUCUCCAUCACAGCAGGACCGGUGGUUCACGUUGAUUCUGGCCCGAACAUCUCUGUUAGUUAUUAUGAACUAACACGUGUCUGUGUCACAGGUGGUCAGCUCGACCAACGGGGAGCUGAAUGCAGACGAUCCACUGACGGCUCAUUCCAACGCUCCCAUCACAGCUCAGGCAGAGGUGGAAGUGGUUGACGAGGCCAAGUGCUGCUGUUUCUUCAAGCGAAAACGGAAGAAGAACACGCCGAGGCAUAAAUGAUCCUCCACUACCGACCUGAAACGAGUGUCCCGCUCAGUUGAUUUUGAUUUCAGAAAUCAGUAAGGUCCCAUUCAGAAUAAAAAGGGGAGAAAGGUCUUGAUUGAAUUGUCCUCUGGAGGGGCCCGUUAAAAAUGGCUUGUUGAAUGGACAAGGCACUUGUGUCCUUUGAUGGGAGUCCUCUUUUAUUUUUUUCCUCCUACAUUUGUUGGAAUGUUUUGCCGGCCAGUCAUCCAAACGAGGAACCUUUUUGUUUGAAUUUUGCAGAGGAAUAUUUUUAUUUUUUCUCCCCUCCGAGCAUUCAUACUUUUUUUUUUUUUUUUUGGCUGAUGUUGGCUCCUGUUUCUCUUCCAUGGUAUUGCAAAGGAAGAGACAGAUCUUCCCGUGGAGUUUUGCCACCUUCAGCCGGUUGCAUACUGUCAUUAUUUUGUUUGUCCCACAAAAUCAUGUCUUCAUUUCCCAUCUGUCAAGUCCCAGUUCAAAAGUGGUUUUAGUUUGCUAACUCAUUUUGAAUCGAUGCCCUUUUUGGUCAUUCCUGACGUGGGACUGAAUGUAAACCCGAACACACAAGGAGCCAAGAGUGUAACUGCCUAUCUUCAGGCACAAAGAGCAUCAGUCAGCCAUUUUGCCCCUGCACUUUUUUCCUCCAAAGAGGUCAACCUUGGAACUGGGACCCGGGGCCUGAGAGGACAGAAGCCCAGAGACGCCUCCUGCACUGUGUUCUCUGAGAAGGACUUCUGCUCACGCUGCUUGGUUAAAGCGCUCUCCUUAACCACGCCGCUAAAAACACACUACAGUCUCUUUUGACUCACAUGCAGUCUUGCUCCUGUCGGCUUUGUGAUAACGAGCAGCAACCUGACACUUGUACAUGGGGCUUAAAAACAAUAUGCUAUUUAUGCUAUUUAUCUCAUGGUUGCCACCUGUUUUCUUACUUAAAAACAUACACACUGAAUGUAUGGACGGAAAUGCAAAUUACUUUGGAGCAUUUAUAGAAUCUUUCAUGCGCAUGGGAAGGAAAUUGCAAUUUAGGAUUUAAGACCAAUGUUAAAAAAAGGAAAAAAGUUUGACCAAAACUAAGUGGAUUAUCUUAAUAAUGUGAUGGUAAAAUUGGACACUUCACCAGAAGACACUGGGGGAUGUUGCUUUGGAGUGACAAGAGAAACUGGUGUGAGGAGAUUGAUUCACAGCCGCUCAACGCUACUGUCCAAUGCCUUAACCCCCACCCACCAACCUGUCCCGCAUCACAUCACCAGUUGGAUGAACGAGUACAGCAUGAUGGUUGUGUGACCUGCAGCGCAACUUUUCGGGGUCUCCUGUAUAGUAAAGCCCAAAGUUGCGGACUGUUCGCCAACUAGUAUCAGAGCAGUUAAUGAAUUCCCUUGCAACACGUAGGAUGUAUUCCCAAGAGAGAGCGAUGCCAAAUGAAAGGUUUGGUGAAAUAAUCUGUAUUAACACGUCCCUGCCCCUGCGUUUCCAGUCUGAAGACCCCUGUGCUGCAAAGCCAUGUUUUGAGUUUGGAUAACUCUGCUGAACCCCCGGUCCCUCUCCACUGUCAGCGGGGGCGAUAAAAUAACAUGCCCAUACCAUUUUUAAUUUAGUGUCAUGGAGGACUGCCUUGAAACAAUAUCCUCGAUAUGUCACCUUGCCUAUCCUCCUAACAGAGAGAAUUACCGUACAUAGGUGUUUUAUUUUUUUAUUUUGUAUCUUGCUAAUGUGAAGUUGUUGAAAGCAAUUUUUUUUCAUUCCAAAUAGCCAUGGUUUUAUGGGGAAAGAGGGUUUUAAAAAAAAAAAGCUUGAGACCAUGACUGCACUACAUUUGUUGACUCAGCUUUCCCUGACGAGACCCUGCCUUCUUAAUACUGAACUUUAAACGUGCUUAUUACUUUAAUUGUAGCUGCCUCAGCGUGCUAGGCUUUCCUUAUAGGGUGCAGGGAAUACACUUUAAAUUGACUUUCAUCCCCACGACUCCUUUGUUGUGCCAUGCCACCUUCCUACUUCCUCUCUGCACACACACAAACGCAUGCAUACACACACACACACACACACACACACACACACACGAAAGUCCUUGAUGAAUCUGCUCAUGGCGGAGUGUUAGAUUUGGCGUUUUGUGGACCUGCUCCAUCAUCUUUGGAAAUACAAUGUUGUAGAUGUUGCAGACUUUCUCAAUGAAUCAGUAUGUAAACCUGCUUGUUGCGUGUAUUUACACUGUAUAGCUUUUGGUUUAUUCUCAGCCCUGAUAUGUCAGUUACUCCGGGGUCUAAGUUAUUGUGUUAUUGAAAGUACUUGAAUAUGAAAAUCUACGGGACCUUUUUAUGUUUUGUUUUUUUUUUUACAUUUUCUUGGUCAUUUUCAUAGUAAAUCCAUACAUUUUGAGGGAGUUUGAGGGGAAUGCUGGGUAAAAUGGGCUAUUUGAAUGACAGGUAUUCAUUUCCUUGAGAUGUCUUUAGUGCCUCGUGAGUGUGUUGGACACGUGUCAGACUGUGGAGUCCUGUGCCAGUGUUGGGUUCAUGUUUUACCCAGAGGAGUUGGAUGUUGGAUGGAGGUUUAAAAUCACGCUUUUGUUUCCGUGAAAUAUUAACCGUAAUGUAUUCUGAUCCAUUAAAAUCCUUUAUUUGUUCCAACACUAAACCUGUGACAUCUGCAGCCUGUUAUUGUCCCCACAAAGCAUCAGGACUGUUUCACUCCAGCUACCUGUUAAAAAAUGGAAGUAUUUCUGCGUAGUGAGAUGGAUAUCAAGACUAUAGUAGCCUUCGACGUUCCCCCUGAAUUCCCCGAGUGCCAUUCCUGAGACUACUAAUAGCCCAUGCCUUUUACCCGUGCCAGGAAAAUAUGAAGUUGAAUGUUUUUUUGACCAUCGCACUCCACCUUGUGUCCUUGACAUGUUCACUGUCAUUUUGAAAAACCCCAGAGCAACGUGGCUCAAUUCAGUACCAGGAAGUGUUUUAAAGGUUGUUUAAAGUGUCAGAAAAAAAGUGUUUUAUGAUUAGCUUCUGUUGGUUUCUCUCUUAAUGUUGAAACCAACAGCAUUUUGUCGACAAAGUUUAUUAUUUCAGAGUUGGAUUUGUGACCGGUCGUCUUCGCAGCAUCUGCUUCUUCCUUAAACUAUGGGUCCUGGCUGAAAUGGUAGAUAUAGAAAUAUUACUCUGAUGUAUUUACUUUUUUCUUUCUGGGCCUAGUACAGAGCGGUAUAGGAGUACUCUGUGUGUUUUGUAUCUGCAUGGCUUACCUGGAGACGACAGCGAGCGUACUGUCUUGAGUUUCUCACCUGUAGGGCUCGUAUACUGUUGGGUCACUGAGACGUUAUGGCUUCCAGUCCUCAUAUAAUAUAAAUAACAUUAAUGUCUUCUCACAGCACAUUCCAUUUCAUUUCUCAUUAUUUCUGGUAUUCACUUCCAUCAGACUUGUGUUGAUGGCUCUGGUUGUGUGUAAGUCACAUUACUGUGUCAAAGCUGUGUAAAUCAACGCAAUGGACAGAUAACGUGUGAAUGAAUGGCUUCGGUCUUUAUGGGUUCUCUGGCACUUUUUCCUUGUUGCUGUACUUAAGGAUUGUCUUGGAUUUACUGUAUAUUUUUCUUUGAGGGAGAGGUUUAAGGUAACAUUUAUUGCAAUAUUGUGAUGAUUAUUUGAAAAUUGUAAAUUGUACAGAGUUCACAAUUAUACUCUUUGUUCUUUUUGUUGGGAUUCCAUAUAAAAUAUGUAUUCUUUGAUUAUUAUUUUUCUCUCAGACUGUGGAAAAUCAAAUUGUACAGCUUCAAGAGUUUAUCCUCCCCUCAGCAUUUUUUUUGCAGAGCUAUGAUUAAGAGAAAUCUUAAAACUGUAAAUAAAUAUUAUUGUGUUGAAAUAUGAAUGUCACUUCAAAAUGUAUUUGAAUGAGUUUGUUAAGGGCUUCAAGAACGAAGGACCGAUAUUUCUCCUUUUUUAUGGUUUCAUACUUUUAAUUUGCAGAAAGGUAAAGGUCCUUUUUUAACUAAGAUGCCUUUUGUUUUUUGUUUUCUCCUUGGAUUCAUAUAAAACAAAGCGUGUCACAUGAAUCUUAUAAAAUCACUUUUUAUUCCCUCCACACCUAAAGGGAAACUCCAGUUUGCACCCUUUUUUAUGUAAAAUAAAAGAUCUCUCCACCUUG